Molecule: long non-coding RNA, 3192 nt
Organism: Esox lucius (northern pike)
Lineage: Eukaryota; Metazoa; Chordata; Actinopteri; Esociformes; Esocidae
Source: Ensembl
UGUUGAUCCACUAACUGAAAGGUUGUGGGUUCUAAUCCUUGAGCCUAUAAUGUAAAAUAAAAACUGAUUUGCCUUAAAGCAAGGUACUUCAACCAAAUGAAUGUUGCCAUAAGUCGUUCUAGAUAAGAAUCGACUGCUAAAGGACUCUACAAUGGAAAGGUCGAGCGAGUUAAGUUAAUAUGUAAAAAUACUUCAUAAAAUGUAUUUUAUACAAGAAUUUACAUAUUAUUUACAUACAAAAGCCAUGCCCCCCGUCCUUGAAUGUGCCUAAAUAAUUUAAAGGGGCGAAUGAGGCCUCGCUAGUGUUAAAUGAAAAAUUUGAGGACCAACCUUAAGUAGAGUGGUGCAAGCAUUUGGCCUUCCAGACACAGGGAAGAGUAGGCGUAUUGGUAAAGUACACACAGCGCUCAAGGAUUCGGCCGGGCUAUUCAAAAAGAAAGAUGACUGUUUGUUUUGUUUUUCUACAGAGAAAGCCGAGAAGAGGUAGGGGGAGCUAGGGUUGAAAGAAUUACAGUUGGAUUAUCCACCAAUCAUUCUUACGCAAUUUCUUCCUGACUUUUGCUUCAUGGAUUUGUAUGAGGACAGAGACCAUAUCACAGCUGACAGGACUACAACAUUUAUGCAUUUCCUCAACGAUGACCUUCUAGUUGUUUAUUUAUCGCCCGCAAGGAGACAGGGCACAUUCAUGCCUCUGCACUCAAGUUCUGUCAUUGUUAGCCCCUGACAAGCCACUGCCAGAGUGCACAAGAGACGAGAUCCUCAGUGUUAUGUUCGAAAGCUGCUGGGACGGCUGAAACACUUUUAGUUGCAUUAUCAAGCACAAGCGCCGCCAAUCAGCUCACACCACUGCCUCAAACAUCCCGCAAUGUCUGGAGAGGUAACUGCAUCAUAUGUUACGGCCCUCUGUCAGUGGUUGAAAGUUGAUGACAUGGCAGCCGCUGGUUAAUGCGUGGAGCGUCUGUGAACAGGAACGUGACCGGUGUGACAACUAGUGUGGCCAGUGCGAGCAAACGACUGCUGUCUGAACACACGCACACAUCUGAUUAAGUCACUUGUGAUCCGCGGUUCGGACUGAUUUGAGGAGCAUAACUGAUUUGACGAUUGCACCCUGCUGUGUGAACAUUUCAGAAUGUCCAGCGAGGUUCGACACAAUGCACUUCCACUGAAUAUUAGACAGGACUCGGAGCGCUUUUCCCUGAGCUGGCAGAUGAAUGUUGCUGCCUGUCUGCCUGCUGAAGAUACGGCGCGAUGGAUUCAACCUUAUAAGCAACACCCAAGAAAGCAGAUCUGUUAGAAUAGCCUUUGUCACAAUAUCUCUAUAAGGGAGGCGUUUUUGGACUGAAUUGACCGCAACAUUUAUAAGAUUAGCAUUUCAAGAUGGUCACAUUGUGUUUUCAUUCACCUUGAAAACGAACAGGUUACUGCAUACACAAUAGGGUCAGAGCACAGUGAUGAUGAACGAAUGCAGGCAGGAACCACUUUUUACAAACUGAAAGAAGAAGUAUCACAAAACUUAAAUUAUUCACAUAAUCAGGAAAACCGUGGCUCAGGACAUUGGGGAUGUCCCAAUUUCCAUAAUGCACAAACAAAGUAUGGUGUUAAAAGCCUUCUAUGCAUAUUCUUCCCAUUGUCCCACCAUUAAAACAGUUGCGCAUCUUCUGCGAAAACACUUUCCCUCUUCUCUCCCUCUAUGGAAUACAACAACACGUGCCUCCUGACACUUUGUCAGUCACGUCACCCUCUUUGAACUCACUCAGAAAAUCCAUGCAAUAUAUUUUCUAGACAAUGCUUAAGAGUAAAGUGAUGAAUGCUUAAAGACUUGAAGUGCAACUCUUAACUUUUAUCAAUAAUCCUAAAUACAAAAGGUGUCUGUCUGUCCUGAAAUCAACAGUCAGUUUGGGGAUGAGUAAGAAGGAGGGCAAUAUCUUUUGGGGACACAUUCUACUCGGAUAACCUUUGGGGACACAUUCUACUCGGAUAACCUUUGGGGACACAUUCUACUCAGAUAUCUUUUGGGGACACUUUCUGCUCAGAUUUUUUUGGGGACACAUUCUGCUCAGAUAUCUUUGUUGGCUAGCUAGACUGCUUACAUGUGAUACACAAGGUUCCAGGCAACAAGAUUACGACAAUGUAUACAUUAUAAUGCAAUAACAUCCAAUUAGUUUACACUAAUUACUAUUUAACUCUGUGCCUCAGCAUAUUUGCUCAGAAAGUGAGGCUUUUCCUUAUUCAUAUAUUUUGUACAAAACGAUUGCCAGUUUAAGCUAACUAACUUGGGAGUGGAGGGCAGACAAACUCCCUGAAUAGUCUUCUUCUUAUUCUGGCCCUCAGUAAUCAGCUACAUGCUUAAAAAAUGUGUUGUAAAUAUUCUGACUAUUAAUUAAUAUCCUGUUGCUUAAUAUUCUCACCAGUUUUGUUCAGAAAUAUAAUGUCCACCAAGUAUUACGUUGUUAUAUGCCAAGUAGGGUCAGUCCUUGUCGGUCGCUGGCUGGGAACAAUUGUUGUGUCACCCGAAAUUGUGUUGUGUGUUUUCAGUUUUCUUUUGUUCAUUGAUGCCCGUCUUGGCCAAGACACUCCUGUAAAAUUAUUUUUAAUCUGAGUCUUUUUGUCAUGGUUAAACAAAAGUUAGAAAAAGCCAAAUCCCCAGGGCAGUGAUGCUGGGUCGUUGCCCCAUCUAGGGAGCCAUCUGUUGGAUGGGAUAUAAAAUGGGUGAACCGACUCUUGGUGGUCACUACAGAUCCCACGGUCCUGAUGACAAGACUACUGGUAUUAACCCUGGUGUCAUGGCCUCAUGUCCAAUCUAUCCAUAACACCAAGCCAAAGAACGCUGUAUGGUUCUACUUGGCAUCUUUUAUUUGAUGAGUGUAUGUAUAUGAUAUACUACAUAAAUUACCUUCUCGAAACAUUAUAUUUUUUACGCGAGUGCUAAAAUAAAUGUAACCUAGGAAGGUAAAUCGAGGAUUAAAGAAACAUGUAUCCCAGCAACCCUGGCAGUGGGUGUUGUUAAUUUUUGUUGCCUUGCUGUUGUUUUUGUUGUCAUGGCGAGGAAAUAAAUAAAGAAAAUAUUUCCUGUUAAUCAAUGGUUCUUGAAUGGUUUCGCCUCCGGACCCAAUUUGAACCAGGUUACCUUGUAAUAUGAUAUUCACAUUGCUGAUGUUAUUUUUUUUUGGUUGACUGAAAUGCUAUGUGGAG